Molecule: non-coding RNA, 1167 nt
Organism: Phalacrocorax carbo (great cormorant)
Lineage: Eukaryota; Metazoa; Chordata; Aves; Suliformes; Phalacrocoracidae
Source: RefSeq, a predicted model, not a curated record
AUGAUGACUGUGCUGGGAAUCCCCCUUUUUCUCAGAAAAACUCCAGUUCUUUCAUCACCUCGCAGGGAUAUUUCUCGAUUCUCACUCGAGCCUUUGUUCUCAACUCUUCAAUUUUAUUUAGAUCUCCUGUCAGGAGCAUGAAGGCAUUUCUCACUGUAGGUGCUGCAAAUGUAAUUAAUUUCUUACAGAGGUUGACCAUCUGUAUGCAGCUGCCCACCACUCGCCUGAAGUGUCAGAGGGAAAUAACUGAGGGAAAUGGACCCUUCUUUGCUGCCUUUCCAAAAUGGUGAGGGGUGCUGUGAUAAUUGUGGGACACCAGGCUGUUUCACUCCUGCUCAGAAAAAAGGGGAGAGCUGCCAAUUUAUUUGUUCACACAGCAUCUGAGAAUCAUGUGUUUGAAAAUCUUGCAGAAGGUGGUUUUUUUCUUUCGUUGUGGGGUUUUUUUUUGGUAAUGCACAAUCCAAAGCACUGAUCUCUUGAUGUAUGGCUGCUGACAGGUGCCCAUCUGGUCCCCUGGAAGCCCAUCUUUCAUGCCUCUUUUCCUCUAGCGUGUGAGAUGGGGUGAAGCAGCGUCAGGCUGGAGUGUGUGCUUGUGGCACAGCGGAGGAGGUCUACCGGGUGUCUGCAGCCGAAUGGGACGUGGGAUGCAAGAUUGCAUCUUCCACAGAUGGGUGUCAUGCAACCGAGUCUGCUCAUCCUUGUGGGUAUCGGAAUUGUUGCUGUCUCUAUUGACUGCACACACAGGGAAGGGAAAGAAGAAAAAUGAUGCUGCUGCAAAGACAAUCAUGAGUUCAUCAUGCAUGUGAAUGCUGUGGCCCUGACUUCAUUGGGAACAGGAGAUCUGUGCACUGCCAGUAGGGAAGAGGUUAAAUUUUGAUAGCGUUUCUAUUAAGCCAGGAAAAGUUUGACCUCUGCCUGUUCUUUACUUCUAACUGAAUUAGUGAGAUUAUGACAAAGACUGUGUAGGCGUGCUCCCAGUAUUUAUUUUCCAAAAGAUGGAAAUAUCAUCUUCCUUGACCUUCAGCGGUUUCAGCAGUGGGAGUUGGAGUGCUGCAUCCUCGGCGCAGGGGCCACGGUGCAGCCUGAAAGCCUCCUGCACCCUGAUUUCCUCCGGCUGGCUCCGCAGCCUCCUCACUGCGCUGCUGGUGGCAGGGCAGGGUUUGCUGU